This 253-nucleotide ribosomal RNA is filed under the name uncultured bacterium. RNAcentral's name for it is "partial 16S ribosomal RNA". It matches the Rfam family "Bacterial small subunit ribosomal RNA", at positions 524 to 776 of the family's 1533-position model. The record is from RNAcentral.
UACGGAGGGUGCGAGCGUUGUUCGGAAUUACUGGGCGUAAAGCGCGUGUAGGCGGUCUUCUAAGUCUGGUGUGAAAGCCCGGGGCUCACCCCCGGAAGUGCAUUGGAUACUGGGAGACUGGAGUACCGGAGAGGAGGGUGGAAUUCCUGGUGUAGCGGUGAAAUGCGUAGAUAUCAGGAGGAACACCGGUGGCGAAGGCGGCCCUCUGGACGGAUACUGACGCUGAGACGCGAAAGCGUGGGGAGCAAACAGG